UAAUACGGAGGGUGCAAGCGUUGUUCGGAAUUAUUGGGCGUAAAGGGCGUGUAGGUGGCUUACCAAGUCUGGUGUGAAAUCCCACGGCUCAACCGUGGAACUGCAUUGGAAACUGGUGAGCUCGAGUAUUGGAGGGGGUCGCGGAAUUCCCGGUGUAGAGGUGAAAUUCGUAGAUAUCGGGAGGAACACCAGUGGCGAAGGCGGCGACCUGGCCAUUUACUGACACUGAGACGCGAAAGCGUGGGGAGCAAACAGG
Molecule: ribosomal RNA, 256 nt
Filed under: uncultured archaeon
Lineage: Archaea
Description: partial 16S ribosomal RNA
Rfam family: Bacterial small subunit ribosomal RNA
Source: RNAcentral